GGAUAAUCUACCCUUAGGACCGGGAUAACCCUGGGAAACUGGGGAUAAUACUGGAUAGGCAAUUAUUCCUGUAAUGGUUUUUUGUUUAAAUGUUUUUUCGCCUAAGGAUGAGUCUGCGGCCGAUUAGGUAGUUGGUUAGGUAAUGGCUUACCAAGCCGUUGAUCGGUACGGGUUGUGAGAGCAAGAGCCCGGAGAUGGAACCUGAGACAAGGUUCCAGGCCCUACGGGGUGCAGCAGGCGCGAAACCUCCGCAAUGUGAGAAAUCGCGACGGGGGGAUCCCAAGUGCCAUUCUUAACGGGAUGGCUUUUCAUUAGUGUAAAGAGCUUUUGGAAUAAGAGCUGGGCAAGACCGGUGCCAGCCGCCGCGGUAACACCGGCAGCUCUAGUGGUAACAAUUUUUAUUGGGCCUAAAGCGUCCGUAGCCGGUUUAAUAAGUCUCUGGUGAAAUCCUGCAGCUUAACUGUGGGAAUUGCUGGAGAUACUAUUAGACUUGAGACCGGGAGAGGUUAGAGGUACUCCCAGGGUAGAGGUGAAAUUCUGUAAUCCUGGGAGGACCGCCUGUUGCGAAGGCGUCUAACUGGAACGGUUCUGACGGUGAGGGACGAAAGUUAGGGGCGCGAACCGGAUUAGAUACCCGGGUAGUCCUAACUGUAAACGAUGCGGACUUGGUGU
Molecule: ribosomal RNA, 672 nt
Filed under: uncultured archaeon
Lineage: Archaea
Description: bacterial SSU rRNA
Rfam family: Archaeal small subunit ribosomal RNA
Source: RNAcentral